UCUUGUUGUGCAGGGAAUAACUCCUGUCAGCAGCAAGGUCCUGACUGAAGUGGCAGCUGCAGUUGUUCCUGUGGUGUGGGCCAGUGGAAUUGCAGGAGAGUGGAAGAGGGCAGAACCUGUAGGUAUUACCCCUACUGUGGGAUCUCUCCUGGUAAGGCAAACCCAGUAUCCUUUAAAAUCAGAAUGCGAGACUGGAUUGGUUGCAGUAACAGCUGAAUUUGCUCAUCCUGGUUUGCUUGUAGGACGUGAAUGCAAGAACCUGCCAAGAAACCAAUGACCAAGAUGAUUGAUGAGUGCAGGAUCUGAGAGAAGCACCUUGAAUGACAACCUCGAGCAGUUUCCACUAUUGGAUUGCAAAGAUGGCCUUUGCUGCAUCUGCUUGAGCAAGGAAAGCCAAGAAACCUUUGCUUUUGAAGGAGAAAACCUGGAAAGCAGGAAGGAAGAAAAGAAACCCCCUGACUCCUCCCUCAGCCCCAGACAGCCCAUGAACUGCCUUCCUGGGAAUGGUAGGACGGGGUGGACUCUGGAUUGCUCCCUCUGGAUGUGUGUGGGAUGUAGCCUGGAAAGUGCACAGAGCUGAGCCAAGGGAUUGAAAGGGACCAAGCAAGGGAGGUGAAGAAAGAAGGAAGAAGGAAGUGAGGCAGCAGGCAAGCAGCAGCAAGUUGCUGUGUAAGCAGAGGGAUAAUAACUCCUGUCAGCAGCAAGGUCCUGACUGAAGUGGCAGCUGCAGUUGUUCCUGUGGUGUGGGCCAGUGGAAUUCCAAGAAAAUGGACAAGGACAGAAGCUGUAAGAAUUACCCCUAAGGCAGAGUCUCUCCUGGUAAGGCAAACCCAGUAUCCUUUAAAAUUAGGAAGCCAAGCUGGAUUGGUUUUAUUAACAGCUAAAUUUGCUGAUCAUGGUUUGAUAGUAGAAUGUGAAUGGAAGGACCUGUAAAGAAAGGAAAUGGGAAAGAUGAUGGAUUGCUGGGAGCAGGGGCUGGCAGACAGUGGGAUGGAUGUUUGGUUGUGUUUGGGAAUGAGCAGCUUGACCUGCCCAGGGUUGUCUGUGCUGGGGGUGGGUUUGGGUCCUGUGUGGCCACAGGUCUGUGCAGCAGCUGGAGCCUGGGCAGGUCUGGGGGCUGUGGUGUGCCAGGCUGCUGAGUUUGUUUUGCCUGUUUCCUUGGAGUGUCCCAGUGUCCCUGCUUGGCUGUUUGUUGCCCUGCAGGCAGAAGAGCCCAGGCCUGAGCUGGCUGAGUGUUGGUGUGAGCCAGAGUGGGUGUCCCUGCCCUGGGGCCAGUCCCCAGAGCUGCCUUUGGCAUCCCCUGCUGAAGGGUGGGAGCUGCCCAGAGCCAGCAGCAUCCAGCUGGAGGAUCCAGGAGGAUGCAGCUCUGCUUUGCUGGGAGCUUGUCCAGGAGAUGGAAUUCCAGUGCUACAGUCUGGGUGGGUCAUGGUGCUCCCAAAAGGAGCCUUUGUGCCUUCAGGACAAGUUUUGGUGCCACUGGAGCUGCUGGGAGAAGCAUAGGGUUGGCAGUGAGAGGCCUGGAAUGAUGUUGCUGUGGCACAGAAGAAAUGAGCAGUGGUGGUACAAUUGGCUAUUUUGUCUUGAAUGUAAUGGUAAGAGCUCCAGGAGUGCAAGGUGUGUGUUCCAGUCCCCAGCAUUUGGUUUGCACUUGUCCUGGUCAGACACAGGUCCAACUUCCUCAGUCCUUAACCCAGUAGAGGGCGAAUUAAGGACUGGCAGUGUU
Molecule: long non-coding RNA, 1723 nt
Organism: Pseudopipra pipra
Lineage: Eukaryota; Metazoa; Chordata; Aves; Passeriformes; Pipridae
Exons: 4
Source: RefSeq, a predicted model, not a curated record